This 443-nucleotide ribosomal RNA is filed under the name uncultured bacterium. RNAcentral describes it as "bacterial SSU rRNA". It matches the Rfam family "Bacterial small subunit ribosomal RNA", at positions 61 to 502 of the family's 1533-position model. The record is from RNAcentral.
GUCGAACGAAGCAUAUAAAAGGAAUUUCUUCGGAGAGGAAUUUUAUAUGACUGAGUGGCGGACGGGUGAGUAACGCGUGGGCAACCUACCCCACACAGGGGGACAACAGUUGGAAACGACUGCUAAUACCGCAUAGGCGCACAGCUUCGCAUGAAGCAGUGUGGAAAACCGAGGUGGUGUGGGAUGGGCCCGCGUCUGAUUAGCUAGUUGGCGGGGUAACGGCCCACCAAGGCGACGAUCAGUAGCCGGCCUGAGAGGGUGGACGGCCACAUUGGGACUGAGACACGGCCCAAACUCCUACGGGAGGCAGCAGUGGGGAAUAUUGCACAAUGGGGGAAACCCUGAUGCAGCGACGCCGCGUGAGCGAAGAAGUAUUUCGGUAUGUAAAGCUCUAUCAGCAGGGAAGAAAAUGACGGUACCUGACUAAGAAGCCCCGGCUAAAU